RNAcentral lists this ribosomal RNA (463 nucleotides) under Nitrosomonas halophila. RNAcentral describes it as "bacterial SSU rRNA". It matches the Rfam family "Bacterial small subunit ribosomal RNA", at positions 339 to 794 of the family's 1533-position model. Lineage: Bacteria; Pseudomonadati; Pseudomonadota; Betaproteobacteria; Nitrosomonadales; Nitrosomonadaceae. The record is from RNAcentral.
CUACGGGAGGCAGCAGUGGGGAAUUUUGGACAAUGGGCGAAAGCCUGAUCCAGCCAUGCCGCGUGAGUGAAGAAGGCCUUCGGGUUGUAAAGCUCUUUCAGUCGGAAAGAAAGGGUCGUGACUAAUAAUCACGAUUGAUGACGGUACCGACAGAAGAAGCACCGGCUAACUACGUGCCAGCAGCCGCGGUAAUACGUAGGGUGCGAGCGUUAAUCGGAAUUACUGGGCGUAAAGGGUGCGCAGGCGGUUUUGUAAGUCAGAUGUGAAAUCCCCGGGCUUAACCUGGGAAUUGCGUUUGAAACUGCAAGACUAGAGUGCAGCAGAGGGGAGUGGAAUUCCACGUGUAGCAGUGAAAUGCGUAGAGAUGUGGAAGAACACCGAUGGCGAAGGCAGCUCCCUGGGUUGACACUGACGCUCAUGCACGAAAGCGUGGGGAGCAAACAGGAUUAGAUACCCCGGUAGA